This 813-nucleotide ribosomal RNA is filed under the name Triticum aestivum (bread wheat). Its description in RNAcentral is "partial small subunit ribosomal RNA". Lineage: Eukaryota; Viridiplantae; Streptophyta; Magnoliopsida; Poales; Poaceae. The record is from RNAcentral.
AUGGUAGUCCUAGUGAUAAGUAUAGCAACUAGUACUGACCAGGACGAUGCCGGCGUGGUCGCCCCUGCGGUGGUUCUCGGAGGCGUCCACCCAGGUGGGUCGGGGCUCGCCUUCCCGGUGGGCGUUGGCGGCGUUGUACCCGUCGUUGCGCUGCUUGAUGUCGUGCUCCAGGCUGUUGAUUCUGGCCUUGAACUCGUCGUACUCCUUGCGGACGCGGCGGCGGUCGUUGACGAAUUCGUCCUGGGCUCUCCCCAUGUAGGGGUGGGACUUGAGCUCGAAGUAGCUCUCCGGGCCCCUGGGCUCGAUCCCGUGCUUGCGGCAGAAGGGCACCCAGAGGGUGGCGAACUUGGAGGACUCGGCCAGGGCCUCGUAGGUGAGCAGCAUGCCACUGUCGUCAGAGACGUAGCAUGUGUUGCGGUCGACGGGGUAGUCGGCGGCGAGGAUGGAGAGCACGGAGUUGGCGGUGGAGAGGAUGGGCUCCUUGAUGGGGUCGGCCGUGGUGACGAAGAUGUCGAGCCCCGGGAGGGUGGAGGUGCCGUCGGGGCGGUCGAAGCGCUGCCGCAGCACGGCCAGGUCCGGCACGCGGUUGAUGGGGUUCAGCUUGGGCAGCUGAUCCAGCAGCCAGGAGAAGCCGAACCAGAACUCGCCGCAGAUGGAUGUCACCCACAGCCACAUGGCGUCAGGGUUCUUGUGGGAGAUACGCCAGAUCACGAACAGGGUGAAGGCGAUCAGCCGAACGAAGAUCAGCACCCUGCAUUGCAUUAUUCACAUUCACCGUCAGUUACAGUUCAUCAUCAGUUCUUGUGGGAGUAG